RNAcentral lists this ribosomal RNA (653 nucleotides) under Escherichia coli. RNAcentral's name for it is "partial 23S ribosomal RNA". It matches the Rfam family "Bacterial large subunit ribosomal RNA", at positions 2269 to 2916 of the family's 2925-position model. The record is from RNAcentral. Lineage: Bacteria; Pseudomonadati; Pseudomonadota; Gammaproteobacteria; Enterobacterales; Enterobacteriaceae.
UUUGACUGGGGCGGUCUCCUCCUAAAGAGUAACGGAGGAGCACGAAGGUUGGCUAAUCCUGGUCGGACAUCAGGAGGUUAGUGCAAUGGCAUAAGCCAGCUUGACUGCGAGCGUGACGGCGCGAGCAGGUGCGAAAGCAGGUCAUAGUGAUCCGGUGGUUCUGAAUGGAAGGGCCAUCGCUCAACGGAUAAAAGGUACUCCGGGGAUAACAGGCUGAUACCGCCCAAGAGUUCAUAUCGACGGCGGUGUUUGGCACCUCGAUGUCGGCUCAUCACAUCCUGGGGCUGAAGUAGGUCCCAAGGGUAUGGCUGUUCGCCAUUUAAAGUGGUACGCGAGCUGGGUUUAGAACGUCGUGAGACAGUUCGGUCCCUAUCUGCCGUGGGCGCUGGAGAACUGAGGGGGGCUGCUCCUAGUACGAGAGGACCGGAGUGGACGCAUCACUGGUGUUCGGGUUGUCAUGCCAAUGGCACUGCCCGGUAGCUAAAUGCGGAAGAGAUAAGUGCUGAAAGCAUCUAAGCACGAAACUUGCCCCGAGAUGAGUUCUCCCUGACUCCCUGAGAGUCCUGAAGGAACGUUGAAGACGACGACGUUGAUAGGCCGGGUGUGUAAGCGCAGCGAUGCGUUGAGCUAACCGGUACUAAUGAACCGUGAGG